RNAcentral lists this transfer RNA (78 nucleotides) under archaeon. RNAcentral describes it as "tRNA-Arg". It matches the Rfam family "tRNA". Rfam says of the family: Transfer RNA (tRNA) molecules are approximately 80 nucleotides in length. The record is from RNAcentral.
GGCCUCGUAGCUCAGUUUGGAUAGAGCGACAGCCUUCUAAGCUGAAGGUCGAGAGUUCAAAUCUCUUCGGGGCCGCCA